This 506-nucleotide ribosomal RNA is filed under the name uncultured Candidatus Saccharibacteria bacterium. Its description in RNAcentral is "bacterial SSU rRNA". It matches the Rfam family "Bacterial small subunit ribosomal RNA", at positions 96 to 633 of the family's 1533-position model. Lineage: Bacteria; Candidatus Saccharimonadota. The record is from RNAcentral.
CGGCGGACGGCUGAGUAACGCGUGGGAACAUGCCCCAAAGUGAGGAAUAAGCACCAGAAAUGGUGUCUAAUGCCGCAUAUGAUCUUCGGAUUAAAGGAUUUAUCCGCUUUGGGAGUGGCCCGCGUACGAUUAGGUAGUUGGUGAGGUAAAGGCUCACCAAGCCUACGAUCGUUAAUUGGUCUGAGAGGAUGACCAGUCAGACUGGAACUGAGACACGGUCCAGACUCCUACGGGAGGCAGCAGUGAGGAAUCUUCCACAAUGGGCGAAAGCCUGAUGGAGCGACGCCGCGUGCAGGAUGAAGGCCUUCGGGUUGUAAACUGCUUUUAUAAGUGAGGAAUAUGACGGUAACUUAUGAAUAAGCACCGGCUAACUACGUGCCAGCAGCCGCGGUCAUACGUAGGGUGCAAGCAUUAUCCGGAGUGACUGGGCGUAAAGAGUUGCGUAGGUGGUUCGUAAAGUGAAUGGUGAAAUCUGGCGGCUCAACCGUACAGACUAUUAUUCAAAC